RNAcentral lists this ribosomal RNA (586 nucleotides) under Kluyveromyces lactis. Its description in RNAcentral is "LSU rRNA". It matches the Rfam family "Eukaryotic large subunit ribosomal RNA", at positions 22 to 649 of the family's 3401-position model. The record is from RNAcentral. Lineage: Eukaryota; Fungi; Ascomycota; Saccharomycetes; Saccharomycetales; Saccharomycetaceae.
UACCCGCUGAACUUAAGCAUAUCAAUAAGCGGAGGAAAAGAAACCAACCGGGAUUGCCUUAGUAACGGCGAGUGAAGCGGCAAAAGCUCAAAUUUGAAAUCUGGCGUCUUCGACGUCCGAGUUGUAAUUUGAAGAAGGCAACUUUGUAGCUGGUCCUUGUCUAUGUUCCUUGGAACAGGACGUCAUAGAGGGUGAGAAUCCCGUGUGGCGAGGAUCCCAGUUAUUUGUAAAGUGCUUUCGACGAGUCGAGUUGUUUGGGAAUGCAGCUCUAAGUGGGUGGUAAAUUCCAUCUAAAGCUAAAUAUUGGCGAGAGACCGAUAGCGAACAAGUACAGUGAUGGAAAGAUGAAAAGAACUUUGAAAAGAGAGUGAAAAAGUACGUGAAAUUGUUGAAAGGGAAGGGCAUUUGAUCAGACAUGGCGUUUGCUUCGGCUUUCGCUGGGCCAGCAUCAGUUUUAGCGGUUGGAUAAAUCCUCGGGAAUGUGGCUCUGCUUCGGUAGAGUGUUAUAGCCCGUGGGAAUACAGCCAGCUGGGACUGAGGAUUGCGACUUUUGUCAAGGAUGCUGGCGUAAUGGUUAAAUGCCGCC